GAUGAACGCUGACAGAAUGCUUAACACAUGCAAGUCUACUUGAACUUCGGUUUGGGUGGCGGACGGGUGAGUAACGCGUAAAGAACUUGCCUCACAGUUAGGGACAACAUUUGGAAACGAAUGCUAAUACCUGAUAUUAUGAUUUUAGGGCAUCCUAGGAUUAUGAAAGCUAUAUGUGCUGUGAGAGAGCUUUGCGUCCCAUUAGCUAGUUGGAGAGGUAACGGCUCACCAAGGCGAUGAUGGGUAGCCGGCCUGAGAGGGUGAACGGCCACAAGGGGACUGAGACACGGCCCUUACUCCUACGGGAGGCAGCAGCGGGGAAUAUUGGACAAUGGACCAAAAGUCUGAUCCAGCAAUUCUGUGUGCACGAUGACGUUUUUCGGAAUGUAAAGUGCUUUCAGUUGGGAAGAAAAAAAUGACGGUACCAACAGAAGAAGUGACGGCUAAAUACGUG
RNAcentral lists this ribosomal RNA (454 nucleotides) under uncultured bacterium. Its description in RNAcentral is "partial 16S ribosomal RNA". It matches the Rfam family "Bacterial small subunit ribosomal RNA", at positions 28 to 507 of the family's 1533-position model. The record is from RNAcentral.